CGCGCCGAGCAACCCCAUAGCAGAUGGAAGGGAGCGCUGACCAAUCUUUAGUUUCUUCUAACUCCACAAAGGUUCGAGAAAGAGUAAAUGAACCCUGGACACCUUUUGUCUUGGUAUCUAGAAGUCACUCGGGAAAACGAAAUGGGGAUAAGGAGUGGAAUGGAGAGGAGUUCAGAUUGCCUGUUCCUCCGCGAUGUCCAGAAGGACUUAGAGGGACGAGACAGCUAGAGGUCAUUCUGUGGAUGUACCCAGCUCCAGGCCAGAGCUCAUUACCAAGAGUGUCAGCAGUGCGGGGGCUGCGUGUGGAUCUUCUCCCGGACGGGGACAAACACAUGGGCCAAACGCGCUGGCACACCAGGCAGAGCAGGCGGCCACCGCGUCCUGAGCCUCCUGGUCAUUCCCAGGGGAGAGGGUUUUGCGCCUGCUGCCUGGACCUAAGCCGGGGAAAGAAGGUCCCUUCGCCUUCAAUGAAGACGUAUCUGACAGUAGAGCAGUUGGGGGAGGGGUUUACAGCUUGUCUGAGAAGGGGCCAUCCUUUUCCAUUUGAGCUCAGACCAACAUCAUCUACUUAGAAAAGCGCGUCUGGCGAUUCCCAAGAUAACCUGCGGGUUCUACCCCCUCCCAGGAUGGGGGCUGGUGGUGGUGAGAGAGGUUACACCUUC
RNAcentral lists this long non-coding RNA (662 nucleotides) under Mustela putorius furo (domestic ferret). Its description in RNAcentral is "lncRNA (ENSMPUG00000026629.1)". The record is from RNAcentral. Lineage: Eukaryota; Metazoa; Chordata; Mammalia; Carnivora; Mustelidae.